Molecule: unclassified non-coding RNA, 4575 nt
Filed under: Gigantopelta aegis
Lineage: Eukaryota; Metazoa; Mollusca; Gastropoda; Neomphalida; Peltospiridae
Description: nucleoprotein TPR-like, transcript variant X2
Source: RNAcentral
UUACACUUUUUCGAUGACUUGACCUGUGACCGUGGCAGUAUGCAGUCAUCUUAUUUUGACCAGCUGCCUACCAGGAUGACUGCCAGGUCACCAAUGCGAGCGAUGCAUGACCUGCCCUUGACCUUUCCAGACUCCGAUAGUGGAUUUGGUUCGUUCAAAACGAGGAGUCGUCUAUUCAACUCAGAUGACUUCAGCAUGUCGGUUCCUUCUCGACUCACAAGGUCAAGGUCACUCACAAGACUGAAUGGGUCGGUCGAUGAAGAGUUGUCUCCCCCUAGUUCUCCUGUGAUGUUCAUUCCACCCGAAAAGUCUGUACGACAUCUUCGUGUUACGCUGGAUGAGAGUGAAAACCGACGAUCAGUGUUGAUGAACAAGUUAAAAGAAGCGCAGGAAACCCUCACGUUACAAAAUGAAAGACUGUCAAAGAUAGAGACGGCAGCAAAAGACAACAGUUUUCUGGUGGAGGACCUCAAGUUCAAGGAGCGAGAUUACAGAAAGAAGAUAGCCGUGUUGCAGAGGGCAGAGCAGGAGAAGGAAGGUCUGAGGAUGGAAAACAUUCGACUGCGGGAAGAAAUGCAAGACAGAAUUAAUACACUGGACUUCCAGCUGAGGUCACUACAGAGCCAGCACCAGUCUACGGAGGUCGAGAAUGAGAAGAGAAGCAGUCUCCUGGACCAGACGACCUCGACCUUGUCAUUACUGGAGAUGGAAAACACAAAACUGCAGAAGGAGCGAGACCUGGCACAGGAUGAGAUUAAUGUCAUUAAGGAAGCUCUACAACUUACCAAGUCUCGCUUCGGUUGCAUUGACGAGGAGAACAAGAACUUGAAAAAUGAAUAUAAUACAAUGAAAAUGGAGAACACGACCCUGAGUCGGAAGGUGCACGAGAUGGCCGGGCAGAUGGUGGAGCUGAGGACUCUGUUACAGGCAGUGCGUGAUGAGAACGAGCGACUCUGUGGCAACUGGAAACACAUCUCUGAGGACAAACAGAGGAGCUCACGGCAGAUUGAAAACUACCAGGACACGAUAGCGGAUCUCAAGUCGAAGUUAGCAACCACUAGUGCAGACAAGGACAGAUUGUUUCAGGACAGAUUCGACCUCAAUCAGAAACUACAGCAGCUCGUUCUCGACAAGGAACAGCUUAUUAAAAGCAAACUGUCACUGGAGGAGCAGUUGAAUAACCUGGAGAGGACCGUGCAGCAUUCGAAGAUGUCAAGGUCAAAUCAUAACGAAGAACUGAAUGACAUGGAAGAUGAGUUGAAUUCAGUUAAAAAGGUCUGUGAGGAGUUAUCCUGUGAGUUGUCGUCUGUAAAGGAGUACUACGAACGUGCGCUGGAGCGUAUCAGCUCCCUGGAGAACAGCAGCAAACUGCUGGAACAACAACAGAACAUCACCGACCAGGAGAAGAAGAGACUGCAGGCAGAGAUCGACAGACUCGAAAGGUUGCUAUGCAGUCGUAAUGAAGAUGACCGAAGAGAAAGGGAACAUUUGGAAGAGAGUCUGAGCAAAGUGAAGUCUGAAUUGAAAGAUUUGCGACAUGAGAAGUCACAACUUUUGGACAGAAAUCAUGAACUUGAAAUUAAACUGCGCAAAGCCAAUGAGGAGUUGCGAGACAUAGCCAGCAGACAGCAGGAUGAAAUGGAGACUUGGAAAAAUACCUGUGAACGAUUGACAUCUUCUGUUAGCUGGAAGGAAGCAGAGUUACAGAAUCUGACAGACCGAACAUGUGAGAUGGAAUCCACUAUUAGCAAACAGCGAGAAGAGUUAAGAAAUAGCCGUGAGAAGUAUGAAAUACUGGCUGAAAAACAGGAGGAUGUUGAAAGGUAUAGAGAUGAGACUCGUCGUCUGCUUCAGGAGAAGGCUGAGAACGAACAGAUGAUUAAGCUUUUAGAGACACAGAAAGAAGUGCUUACGAAAAGUAUGGAGAGUAGCCUGAACAAACUCCAUGAUGUGGAACACCUUGGUGGUAAAGUGGACCAGCUCCGCAGUGAAAAUGAACUUCUCAGAGACCGUAUUCAGGAACUGGAGGAGGUCCGAGACAAUCUUAUCAGACAGAAGGAGGAGAUGCUGAUCGACAGUGACUUGAUUUACAAACAGCCGAACUUAGAUGACGUAGCACAGAAGAUUGACGAACUGCGAGAUGCCAACAAACAGCUGAGAGAUAUCAAUAACAUCAUGUCAGAGAAACUUGAAGUUGUAGAACAGGAGAAUUUCCGUCUGAAAAAUGCUAUGGGUGAAAAUGUUCCCUCUCACAUAGAAGAGGAAAUAGAAAGGAUGAGGAGAGAAAACGAGCAGCUGCGAUCAGACUACGAUAGCCUAAAGGAAGAACACGACAAGCUGGAAUCCCGACAUCAGCAGUUUAUCAUCCAGUACGGCCAUCAGGAUGAGCAGCAGAGAGACACAGAGGAAUUACACAAGGUACAACAGGAACGAGAUGCUCUGCAGAAACAAGUUCAGCUCAUUAACGGCCAGUUGAUUCUGGUUGAGGGCAGCAAGAAACGCCUUGAAGAGACUGUGGAGGACCUUCAAAAACAAGUUCACCAACUCACAGGGCAGAUACAGGAGGCUGAUAUUAGCAGGUGUAGACAGGCAGAGGCCGAAGUUGAGCAACUCAGGAAAGAGGUGGAUCAACUUCAGCAGCAGUUAGCAGAUGCCGAGAGUGGGAAGGCAGAGCAAGAUGCACUGCUGGACAGUUUAAAAGAGAAAUCACUGGAUGAUGUUGGAGAAGAACUUCACAAAAUGCGAGGAGAACUUCACGAUCUGAUGGGAGAGAUUGAGUCCAAAGAUCAGUCAAUUAUGUCCCUUGAAAAUGAACUUCAGAAGUCUACGGAGGAAUGCCAGUUUAAAGAGAAAAGAGUCCAUGAUAUGAAGAAUCUCAUAGAUGACCUUGAGAGACAUAAUGAAAGUUUGAAGAAAGAUUUAGAGCAGACAAGACUCUCAAAAAGUCUUGACAUUAACUUUCAGAGUGAAUCUGGUAAACAUGACGUGUAUUUCGCUAGAACUGCUCCUUCUGCUUUGUUGCCAGUUGCCGUUGUGUCCAAUACGCAGAAUAAUAGAUCACCAAAAUCUCUAAAAGAUGAAUUAGAAGAGGCUUUUAAACAAAAGAAGGACAAUACUAUUCCCAGAAUCAAACCACCUGAGUCACUUCUGAGUAAGAAACUGCUUGAGCCUAAAUCCCCACAAGGGAGUUCUGCAUCUGACCCAGGUAACUUCGUCAGAAAGGGUUUAUUUGGAGCGCAGUUCUUUUUCAAAUCUCAACAAUCUGAGGGAAAUGAGCGACUGCAGACAUUAAUAUCAAAAUACCGCAGCCACAGCCAGCUGCCUGCUACACCGGAGAAGAAACCAAACUCACACACGUUUACAUCUGGGAGGCUGGGACUUGGUUCCAAAAGUCGAGCGUUUGGUUUGACUGUUCCCAAAACCCCCGACGGUAAAGUGUACUCUUCUGAAAGUGAUACGGGACUAAGCUCACCUCGAACUGGACACAAAGGUCCUCCUCCCCCUCCGCCUCCAAAGCCAAAAGUGAAGUUUAAUUCUAGUACUGGUACUCUGUCAAGACUGAAAGACGUGACAGAUUCGCCGUCUGCCAAUUCAUCUCAGGACCAUACACAAGCGUCUGCUGUUGAUUCUCUGAUGGAUUCCCAGGAACAGCGAGACAUCAAUGCACUUAUACAAAAGUUUGCCGAAGUUGGAUCAUUACAAUGAUGAUGCCUGUUGAAAGUGCUGAGUAUUGUUCAUGAAUGUGUUUGGCCACGCCUUCCGACUAAAUCUCUUCUUUCCGUCCAUCCGCCAAAAAUUACAAGUACCUCAAAGUACUUGAGAUGUAAACGAGGUCUACACAAAUAACCACUCAGGAUCGGAGAUGAUUAAGGUCAUAAUGAACUCUUCCACAUCAAUGCUGGCUGUUUUACACUAGCCAAGAAUGGACUCUUCCACACAUCAGUUCAGGCAGUGAUUAUGCUACUCAUAUGCAAAACAUUUAAGUUUAAACUAAACCAGUACUACAAUGUACAUUUUUUAAGCAAUCUGUUAUAUGGUGUACGUAGUAUUCAAUCAAGCGUGUGUGUAGGAAAGUUGUGAAGAAUGGUGCCUAUAGACUGUGGAAAGUGAAGUUUCUAGGAGUAGUCAGGCUGUGCUCCCCCAGAAAACAUAUUUAUAAAAAAUAUUUAAUACCCUUGUACAUGUACCUGUCAAGUAAAGUAUCUUGUUCUGAUUGUGAAAAAUGAGUCACUGCUUACAUUUGCAACCAAAUUUUCAUUUUAUACAUAAAAAAAACUGUGCUUUAAUUCAUUAAAAAAGACCUAGCAUUUAUUUUAUUUUAUUCAAAGCUUGAAAAUAUACAUAUUUAGUGUCAUGCCUGUUUUGUUAUCAGAAAUGCAUAGAGUUUCUUGAAGUUAUAGACAAGAUAUUACAAAAUUCUCAACUGUGCCAAAAACUGUUUUGGAGUUCAGUAAAUAAUUUUGUGAUAUUAGAAAGCAAAUAGUAUUAAAUAAAGCUAGUGUUUUCCCUAGCUUGUUUUAGCAUGUACAACACCAUGCCUCAAUAGUCUAGCGCCAUCUUGCCUCAAUCAGUGCC